This is a long non-coding RNA of Pristis pectinata (smalltooth sawfish), 288 nucleotides long. RefSeq lists it as uncharacterized. The record is from RefSeq and is a predicted model, not a curated record. NCBI's taxonomy places the organism in Eukaryota, Metazoa, Chordata, Chondrichthyes, Rhinopristiformes, Pristidae. The transcript has 3 exons.
AGAGGUUGCUGCUGCCCACCGACAGCCCAGUGCAGGCUUUCUUCGUGAUGCGGAAGCAGUUGGACGAGGAGGAGAAGCGGGGCUACGUUAAGAUCAAAACCAACGAGGGGGCGCGGAGAUCUUGUGAGGAGAAAGCGCUGAAGGCCUGGAAUACCGGCGCGUGGAAAACGUAGCGGAUGUUGUGACCGACAGGUUCCUCUGUACGGGGGGAAGUGAUCCCACUCAGGAGUCGAUCACGUGUCAAGGUGACUCGGGGGGAUCACUGUUCAUCCACAAGAAAAGGAGGUU